This 485-nucleotide ribosomal RNA is filed under the name uncultured bacterium. RNAcentral's name for it is "bacterial SSU rRNA". It matches the Rfam family "Bacterial small subunit ribosomal RNA", at positions 28 to 512 of the family's 1533-position model. The record is from RNAcentral.
GACGAACGCUGGCGGCGUGGAUUAGGCAUGCAAGUCGAACGGUAGGAUACCUUCGGGUAUCUGAGAGUGGCGAACGGGUGAGUAACACGUAGGUGAUCUACCCUCAAGAUUGGGACAACCCAGGGAAACUUGGGCUAAUACCGGAUGAAAGCAGCAGUGAUGUUGUUUGAAAGGUGGCGUAAGCUGCCGUUUGGGGAUGAGCCUGCGCUCUAUUAGUUAGUUGGCGGGGUAAAGGCCCACCAAGGCGAUGAUAGAUAGGCGGCCUUAACGGGUGGUCGCCCACACUGGGAUUGAGAUACGGCCCAGACUCCUACGGGAGGCAGCAGUCGAGAAUAGUCUACAAUGGCCGAAAGGCUGAUAGUGCGACGCCGCGUGAACGAGAAGCCUCGGGUGUAAGUCUUUAUAUGUGAGCAGUGCUUCUAUGUGAACAGCAUGGGGAGAGAGAUAUUAGCAUAUGAAUAAGCAACGGCUAACUCCGUGCCAGC